UAACAUAUAUAUUAAUUAAUACAAUAAUAAUUCCUACGGAUUCAGAUUAAAAAUAAAUAAUAAAAUGAAGAGAAAAAACCACGUUAACUUAUUCACCAGACUUCUCAUAGGUGUAUGACGACAUUAUCUUUUUUUUUUGCCUUUUAAUACCUUCUAUAAAGAAUUAACUAAUUCGCUUAUUGGUACGGUUCUACAAUCGUUAAUUAAUACCUUCGUAAUUCAUUAUUUUAAAAAUUCUGAGAAAAAGCGUACUCGAUUCGGUUCGUUAAAAAAAGAAAGUCUCCAUUUAACAUUACAGAGAAAGAAAAACGUUCAGAAAAUGCAGGGUGAUCAAAAAAUAAUGGUGCAAGAGACAAUUGGUAAAUUUUUCAGCGGAAAAUAAGACGAUUUUCGAAAUUUUCCCAACAAACGUUUCAAAAUAUAAAAAAUACUGGAUUUAAACCAGUUAUCUCACUAUCUACCAUGAUCCGGUUACUCGCCACUCGUAAAGUACAAUAAAAAAAGCUUAAAAAAAAAGAGAGAAGAAGUUAUGAAGUUAAAAUCCACGAAUUUCUCGACGAUUGUUUAUUUUUGUUGCCAUCGAUACAAUUACAAUAAAAUACACCAUACCGUUUACAAUGAACACUUUCGUUCGACUCUUUCCUCUCUACAAGCGAACAAAACUAACGGAUAAACAAAGACAACAGGAAAAUCGGAAAACCAUGUUAUUUCCAACUAAAAAAAUUGUUCGUUAUUGCAGCCAGAAUUUUAAGCCGUGAUCCGCUAUCUAUCGACAUUUCUUUUUUUCUUUCUUUUUAACGAUGCAAUCAUUCUCGCUGAAGAAAAAACCACGGUUUAAGAAUAUAUUCCAUUUAUAAUCUAAGAAAGGCCGCAGUUUUCUCUUGUACUACAAUCUUUAAAACACCCUGUGUGUGUGUGUUUGUGUGUGUAGUAGUAGAAAGUAUGUUUAAGUAAUUAAUAUGUAUACAUGUGUACGUGUAUACGUGCACACGUGAAUGAUACACGUUUCUCAUCCUACGUACUUAUAUGUAUGACUACAAAAUUCGGAUACAUAUUUAUUUUUAUGGUGUUCAUACAUCGUUCACGUAUAUACGUAUUGGGUACAGUCGCGUCCAUAAACGAUUAAGAGGAAGUGUAUGUAUUUUCAUAAGUGGGAGGAGUCAGGAUAGGGGGAGGAGUCAAUGAGCGGGGUCAGUAGGAGGGGCUAACAGGCGGAGUCAAUGCAGGGAGUAAGUAGGUGUGGCAGUAGGUGAGUCUAUGGGCGGAGCCAAAGGGAGGGAGUCAGUAGGUGUGUCAGUAGGCGAGUCUAUGGGCGGGGCAAAUGGGAGGAGUAAACGGAAGGGACCAAUUUGAAGAAGAGAAUGGUGUAAUACAGUAACACAGUGUAAUGUAGUGUAGUGUAAUUUUGAUUUCGAAAGAACUUAAAACCUACACUUCUGCUUAAUCGAGAGAUGGACGCAAGAAUUUAUGGACAAGGUCCGAAAUUCAACUAGGUAGGGUGGUCAUGUUGCUCAGGUGAAUUUGUACCUUUCCAAUUAGAAAAUUCCACGCGGACACACAAACAUCAGUUAAAUAUACAUUACACGCGAAUCAAUUCUAUCUAAUUCGUUUAUCACGAAUAUUCGUAAGUUCAUUUCAAAUUUCGCGCCAAUACCUUCGUCCAUUUUCUGAACCAGUCAGCGACCAAUCGGGACGCUAGAAUUUGACUUGAGCAAUAUGGCCGCCUCACGAGGCUCGAAUUCCACCGUUUUCAAAUCCGUCCGUUUUUAUGGAAAGCAAGACCGAAAACGCGACCGUACGAGCGUUUAAUGUAUACCGAUACACACGCAUACAUGAGCACUUGGUUCACAUAGGUGCACGUAUAUUCGUAUAUAUGCAUUGUAUAUACAUAUAUAUAUACGGACAUAGAAUGUACAAUUGAAGUGGAAGGGCGAUAUGUAAGACUCCCGGGUUCAGAAUUAGCCUUCCCAAAAAUGAUUCGUUUUGCACACGCACUCGGGGAAAAAAACCAGAGGCAUUCGUUCGGAGAAACGCAUCGUCAUAGAAACAAAGCUUAAGCGUAUAACGUCAUAGCGGUUACAAAUAUCCUGUAUAUAAAAAAUGCGUGCAGUGAAGGAAUCAGACUGAAUUUAGAACGAUCUUUAAAAGCGGACGUAAAAACGAAAAAUUCGUAAUAUAGUUUUUCUUUUUCUCGACGACCGGAGUUUAUCCUUAUAUAUUUAUAUAACCAUGUUACAUAUAGGGUGCUUAAUAUAGGAGGCGCUAUAGUGUACAGUACAAUUCCCUACCAAUAAAACGAAAUAAUUCUCGGCAAUACUUCCCCCCACCCUCUCUCCUCGUUCGAGUUUCAGUCAAGUCCGAGGGAAAAAACGUUGAAACCGGGAAAAUCUUGAGAAAUUAAAAAGGGUAUUGAAUUUCGGAAAAUCAUCUUAUUUUCAGCACAGGAAUCGUAACUGCGUUCUUGUACUAUAAUUCAUGAGACACCCUGUACAUAUUGAAUCGUUAAGCAUAUAUAUAUAAUAUAUAUAUAAUAUAUAUAAUAUAUAUAUAUAUUUUUUUAAAUACGUAAACACCACACGAGCGUGUUAUCUUUUCUCGACCAAGAAAAGAUUGUUUCCUCUUUUUUUUUUAAAUCUUAUCUCAUUCAUCACAAUAUCGGCACACAUACAGAGACGCAGGUAGAAAAUGGGACCAGGUUCGACGUGCGAAUACCAUGCGCGAACCUUUUCUUUCUCGAGUAGAAAAAAGUCGAGGCUUUUUCUUUCCUCCUUGAAAAUUUACUUCUUUUCUCGUUUUUUUUUUUCUUCUUCUCCCUCCCCAGGCUUAAAUCCGCCGCGUUAUUUAAAUCCUAAUCUUUUGUGUUUAAAGUAAUGAUUUUAUAUCCUAGAAGAGCUAUAUAUUCAAUAUUUAUUAUCACAACAAAUAUCUUUCUGCUAGUUUAAGAAAGCUUUUCGCCCUUUGAUUUAAUUUGAUAUAUAUAUAUCAUAUAUAUGUACGUGUGUAUGUAAUGCAUGUGUGUGUGAGUGUGUGUAUGCGGCGUAUAUAAUCCGAAUGCUUAAUAUACGCGACAUCCUGUACAACAGUGAUAGGCAAAUCAGCUGCGCUCGCGAGUAUACAGGCUUAUUAAAAGUUAAAAUAAGAUUUUAACCGCGGGAAUGUAAGGGGGAGGGGCGCCACGCCCCUGCGUAUCCCGAUCCGAAUGGUCAAUGUUGAUAAAUCUGAGACAAAAUUGGGAAAGGAAUUUUCAGUUCUUUCUCUCUCAAUGCCCCUGAGCUCAUCGGGCAUUUGAUUUGCCCGACACUGGUAUACCUUUCCACUGUGAAUUUUUUCUGGUUCUUUUUCUUUAUGGGCGUGGUCUACGCCACACUCAGUAGCGGCAAUAUAACGAGAGUCUACUGGACGAAUAAAAAUGAUAACAACAUCAAUUAACAUUAGAUCGUAAAGAAUAACAGUGGAGUCUCGUUAUAUUAACGAGGAUGUCUCGAUAUCUUCCUGCGUUGGGGGCCCUAGAGGCGGGGAGGACCAUUGUCAUGCUUGCAGGAAGAGGACACUACAGUGUGAUACAUAAUGAAUGUCUACGUUGUUACUUUUUACAAGGUAGUAAACAUAUCAUUAUAGGAAUGUUAACUGAGUGUGACGUAGCAUAAAAGACAUAAACAAAAUAGAAUUGAAAUAAUUUUCGAUGUUUGUUCAACUCUGAUAUGUGUAACAUCCCGUGUAGAUAAAUUAUUUGAAGUCCUCGUUGCUACAAUAAUUUCGAUAACAAGUAAAAGUACCACUGGACAAAGAAAAAGCCAGAGAAAAUUCAUCGGUGAAAAAUCCCCGAACGUUUAAGUAAAAAAAAAAAGAAAAAACAAAAAAGAUAAACAAAAACAAUGUUAUUCACAGAAUCCUAGUUACUUUUCCAUUUACGCGCGAUUUAGUUCUUUUUCUGCAAUUCGAAACCUUAGCCUAAGAGUCCGUUAGAAUUAUCACUAAGCUACGUCGUGAAUAUAUCUCUCAAAUACCGUUAGACAAUGAAAAUCGCAAAAAUCGUAAUAACUAUACUAUUAUAUAUUUUUCCAUUAUUUCGUACCGCAAUCUCUAUUUCUUUAAUAUAUGGUUAUUAGCACUAUAUAUAUAUAAUAUAUAUGUAUAUAUAUAUAUAUCGCGUUUAUUUUUUUGUUGCUUAUUAAUGAACAUUACGAUCAAUUAUUAUUUAUUAUUACUUGUUAAUACCUAUUUAUUCCAUUCAUCAUCAUAAUCAGCAUCCCCGUCGUCAUCAUCGUUAUUAGUUACUAUUAAUCUGUUUAAAAUUAAUUAAUCUUUCAUUCUUGUUAGGAAUAGAGGUUACUCGCGAAUUAGUCCACUUUGUUGCAUUAAUCAAUAGUCACUUUUUUUUACUUUUACAAUAAUUAAUCGAUCUUACCAACUAAUUACUCUUUAUCAAACUGCAUGUAUUUCUAUACUAUUAAUAAUAUUAUAGGAAUGUAUAUAUGCGUAGGCGCGCGCGCGCGCGCGUGUACGCGCGCAUAGCUGUGUAGUGUGUACUUGUUUGUGUGUGCAUGCGUGCGCGCGCGAGUGCAAUAUAUACGUAUAAACAAUGUGUCUGUCUCUGACUCUGUGUGUGCGUGCAGUACAACCUCGAUAUUUUCCUGCGCCAGGGGCUGUAGAGGCGGAGCGGUACGUACAACCAAUCGCACACUAUCCCCACUCCAACCAUUUUACCGUUCCUCGAUGUUAAUGCAGGUCUGUCCUAUCCCUACGCUGACCAGAGUCGUUCUCAGUGUGUAAAGUUUCUAUGGCUAAUCGGUUCAACUCGAUUCAAAUUCGACGCAAUUCAAAUUGGACGUGAUUGAAAUUCGACUCGAUAUGACUUCACACGAUUCAAUUCGAUCCGACUCAAAUUCGACGGGAUUCAAAGUUGAGGCGAUUCAAUUUGGCGCGAUUCGACUCGGUCGCACGGUUUCCUUGGCAACGAAGGCGUUACCGUGCGAUCUCCUUAGCAACGGAGGCGUUACCGUGCGAUCCCUUUGGCAACGGGGGCGUGUCGCGUAGUCCCCUUAGCAACGAGGGCAUGCCACGUAACUCCCUUAGCAACGAAGGCCGUUUCCUUGACAUUGCGAGAUGCGUUGCACAGAAAAACAAUGCCACUGCAUUGUACAGACCUGCACUAACCGAACUCGCGUUGGACAUGUGAGCAACAGAAAUUUCAAUCUAACAGAAAUUUAUCAAGGUUUGACUGUAUACCGAAAACCUGCAAUUCUGUGAAUUGUUAUGUGUGUGUGUGUGUGUGUGUAUGUGUGUGUACGCGCGCUCGUACAUGCGUGCCUUAAUGUGUCCCUGUACUUGCUAGCUAAGUAUGUAUGUAUAUUGUUGUUAAUAAUACGCUUAAACGACGAAAUUGGACUUUACUCCUUGAUUCUUCUUGAUUCACCUUUCUUUGAUCUUUCGGGAUGUUUGUUUCGAGACGUGUGCACGAGGGACACUUUUUCGUUUUCUAUAUCUAAUGAACAACAUGACACACACGAACUAAUAUCUCAUAGUUGUAUUUAGAAUUUUCUUCAUUUACUUAUCGUUGAAAAUCGGUGCAUGGCACACACUCUGUCUUAACACUUUGACAGUCGCUUAUCUUAUGCGAUUGUUUCAGCAACCUUCGAAAGAUUCUAUGAUUUAUCGGUAUUUAAAUUACAAUUAAUUCGGUGAUUAGAAAUGAGGUAAAGAACGCUGGCCUGGGUCAGUACCGGCCGUCAAAGUGUUAAUCCCUACAGGGUGAUUCAAAAGAGAUGAGCAAAACUUCUGUGUGUUAAAAUCAGGGUUAUUCUGACCCAAUGAGCUGUAUUUACAUUUUUAAGAGAAACUGAUAAAUAAUAACAAUAUAGGGAUUAUUUUCGGUACUUAAUUCCCUUGUCAUUAUUAUGUUUAUGAACAUAUAUAUGUUUAUAUGAACUUUCCUUAUAUUAAACAUUUUUGGCCACCCUUUUUGAAGCACCCGUAUAUAUAUAUAGAUUUAGUAAACGUAUACACUUAUUGAUCAAUGUAUACAUAUGACAAUGUAUUUAUAAACAGAACUUUUGUUAUAGUGGAAGCAUUAUCUAUCGAGGUUGUAACAAAUUUGAAGAUUUUUAAAUUUUGAGAAGGCAAGGAGGCCUGUGUUGCGUUCGAAUAUACCGAUUGGUAACUUUGAUGUAUUUUCUGUUAGAAGACAACCAUCUCUACGUAUGGUAGAUGGAGUCUCCCCAAUCCUGAACAGAGGUGGGUGGAAUCUCCCCACUUCUGAGCAGAGGUGGGUGGAGUCUCCCCACUACUGAACAGAGGUGGGUGGAGUCUCCCCCACUACUGAGCAGAGGUGGGUGGAGUCUCCCUCACUACUGAACAGAGGUGGGUGAAGUCUCCCCAUUACUGAACAGACAUGGGUGGAGUUUUCCCACUACUGAACAGAGGUGGGUGGAGUCUCCCCCACUACUGAGCAGAGGUGGGUGGAGUCUCCCCCACUACUGAGCAGAGAUGGGCGGAGUCUCCCUACUAUUAAAAGUUUAACUCACAUUUAGACUCGUGAAACGUUUAAUACAAUAACUAGUAAUUGUAUACAUUUACUAAAUUUUUACAUUUUUCCCGUAAUAAAUUAAACAGAAUUGUUCCAACGGGAAUUCAAUGCUUAUUGUGAAAUUAACAUUUACUUUAAAAUCGUUCAUUAUAUUACUUGGAUAUCUUGAUUAAAUGAUAAGUGUGCGUGAAAGCUUCAUUGAAAUUUCUCAUUUUUUAUAUCCACUAUAUAGAUUGUACGUUUAUUGCAAUUAUGAUAUACACUUAAGUCAUCGCACGAUAAAAAUCUAAACGAAAAUUGACUUCAACGAAGAUCAUUUCAAAUUCAUCGAGGAUAUUUUUGUUACCAAUAUUAACAAUCUUCUUAAAUCAACAACAUAAUUGCAUUUUGAACUGAAUUCGUAAUCGUUUGCACUUUCAAGGACAUGUACCUCAUAAAUCUUCUUUUAAAAUCUAUUUAUACCUAUCAAUUUUUUUUUUUAAGGCAAAAAAUGUUAUACUGAUUUACGAAUUUAAUUUGCUACUUUCGAAGUAUUUUGAAAGAUUCGUCAGCCUUCGUUACAUUUUUAUCGAAACGUCGGUAAAACUUGUAUUAAAAAAAUAUUUACAGAUUUUUGCAUUUUCGUAAAGCACUUUAAACAUCGAAUACCGAACUUUUGAUCAGUUUUACCCCUUUCUUUCGCUCCCGAACGAAAUAUCCGAAUUUUCACCGAACUGAGUAUUUUAAGUACUCAAAAAUGCAUGAAAUAUUUUGCUCACGUGAUCUCGCGAAACAUUUGUUUUCUUUCGUUAGCAACAUAGAAAAAAAGAAAAACAAAUACUAGAAACGUAAAAGAAUAUUCAACAAGCAGUUUUAUUCUUUGUAUUUUAACAUUUGAAAUAAUAGCGAUAAGAACUUAAUUAUCGAGCGUUACAAUUACUAUUAUUUAAGCACAUUUCGUGUAUAUAUAUCUCUUACUGAAAUACGAGGAACUGUAGGAAGGAAAAAAGAAAAAAAAAAGUGAUUCAUUAAAAUUUGAACACACACGUUCGCGGCUUGUUUAAAUAAUACUGUAUAACAAUUAAAAAUCAAACUACAUGGAUAAUCAUUAUUUUUUUUUUCUUUUUCGUUUAACUAUAUAUGCGAUCAGUGAAAGAAAAGAGAAAUUAAUUAAAUAGCAACUUUAACGAUAAUAUCAUUUAACUCUGUUAAAUUUCCAUCCGCUAAACCUAUCGUUAUAUUAUCGUACAUAUUCGUUAACAAAAUGUUAAGACGUAAAAACUAAUUACGUAUGCCUUCGUUUUUUAAUCGUCACCGGCAUUGUCUCUCCGUUAGCCAUUGUAAAAAGUACUUAAAUAUUUGUAUCGUUAAAUUUGGCGACUUACACGAAGAAAAAUCGAAUUUACAAUUAUUAUCAUUUAAAAGCUACAGAAGAAAAAAUAUAGAGAUAUCUCUAACGUGUAUAAAUUAAAAAGUAUAUACUCGAUACUUUUGGUCUCUACAAAGAUUCCCUUACGCUUCGAAUGAUCGAGCCUUGACUAUAAAUUCAUAUUGUGAUUAGAAUUACACUAGUUAAUCGUUACAAUCUUUUUUUUUUAUCAUUUUCAAUUAUCGUAUCAAAUCAACAAUGGCACACGCCCCUGAUGCACACGUAUUUUGUGUCGAGAACAGAAAUAGCGACAACGCAUCCCGAAAGAGAGGUUCGUAUGUGUACGUUUUCUUACUGGCGCGUGUGUACGCAUGCGCACGGCAUAAGCAAUCCGAUUGGCUCCCAGUGGAGCGCAUGCGCAUACUAACUAAUGUAUGCCUGUAUAAGCGUACUGAAUCAAUAAUUCACGAUAAAAAUAGAGUAAGCACACACACAUACGUACGGAAUACGCAUUAAAAAAAAAAAAAAAAAA
This is a long non-coding RNA of Megachile rotundata (alfalfa leafcutting bee), 8406 nucleotides long. RefSeq lists it as uncharacterized. The record is from RefSeq and is a predicted model, not a curated record. NCBI's taxonomy places the organism in Eukaryota, Metazoa, Arthropoda, Insecta, Hymenoptera, Megachilidae.